AGAAGCAUGGCUUAGCAGGAAAGCUCUUGCCUUUCAAGCAGGAGGGCUGAGUUCAAACCCUAGCACCACUG
Molecule: transfer RNA, 71 nt
Filed under: Dipodomys ordii (Ord's kangaroo rat)
Lineage: Eukaryota; Metazoa; Chordata; Mammalia; Rodentia; Heteromyidae
Rfam family: tRNA
About the family: Transfer RNA (tRNA) molecules are approximately 80 nucleotides in length. Their secondary structure includes four short double-helical elements and three loops (D, anti-codon, and T loops).
Source: Rfam by way of RNAcentral